RNAcentral lists this ribosomal RNA (424 nucleotides) under Fusobacteriota bacterium. RNAcentral describes it as "Fusobacteria bacterium partial 16S ribosomal RNA". It matches the Rfam family "Bacterial small subunit ribosomal RNA", at positions 355 to 776 of the family's 1533-position model. The record is from RNAcentral. Lineage: Bacteria; Fusobacteriati; Fusobacteriota.
UGAGGAAUAUUGGUCAAUGGGCGAGAGCCUGAACCAGCCAAGUAGCGUGCAGGAUGACGGCCCUAUGGGUUGUAAACUGCUUUUAUGUGGGGAUAAAGUGCGUGACGUGUCAUGCAUUGCAGGUACCACAUGAAUAAGGACCGGCUAAUUCCGUGCCAGCAGCCGCGGUAAUACGGAAGGUCCGGGCGUUAUCCGGAUUUAUUGGGUUUAAAGGGAGCGUAGGCUGUCUAUUAAGCGUGUUGUGAAAUUUACCGGCUCAACCGGUGGCUUGAAGCGCGAGCUGGUCGACUUGAGUAUGCAGGAAGUAGGCGGAAUUCAUGGUGUAGCGGUGAAAUGCUUAGAUAUCAUGACGAACUCCGAUUGCGCAGGCAGCUUACUGUAGCAUAACUGACGCUGAUGCUCGAAAGUGCGAGUAUCAAACAGG